RNAcentral lists this ribosomal RNA (501 nucleotides) under uncultured bacterium. RNAcentral describes it as "partial 16S ribosomal RNA". It matches the Rfam family "Bacterial small subunit ribosomal RNA", at positions 30 to 523 of the family's 1533-position model. The record is from RNAcentral.
AUUGAACGCUGGCGGCAUGCCUUACACAUGCAAGUCGAACGGUAACAGGGAGCUUGCUCCGCUGACGAGUGGCGAACGGGUGAGUAAUGUAUCGGAACGUACCUUUUAGUGGGGGAUAACGUAGCGAAAGUUACGCUAAUACCGCAUAUUCUCUGAGGAGGAAAGCAGGGGACCUUCGGGCCUUGCGCUAAUAGAGCGGCUGAUAUCAGAUUAGCUAGUUGGUGAGGUAAAGGCUCACCAAGGCGACGAUCUGUAGCGGGUCUGAGAGGAUGAUCCGCCACACUGGAACUGAGACACGGCCCAGACUCCUACGGGAGGCAGCAGUGGGGAAUAUUGGACAAUGGGGGGAACCCUGAUCCAGCCAUGCCGCGUGUGUGAAGAAGGCCUUAUGGUUGUAAAGCACUUUAAGCGAGGAGGAGGCUCUUUUGGUUAAUACCCAAGAUGAGUGGACGUUACUCGCAGAAUAAGCACCGGCUAACUCUGUGCCAGCAGCCGCCGUAA